UCCCCCCUCCCCUUCCCUCCCCUCCCUCACUUGCUUGUUCCUCGUUUUCCUCCCCUCCUCCUCCUCCUCCUUUCCCGGUCAGCUCGUCUCCUCGGGCGAGAGUGAGCGCUAUGCUGGAACCGUUCCGUCGCCUCCUCCCCCAGCGGGCAGGGCUCAAGAGGAGCGCAUGGGGAGCUCUCUCUCUCUUUCUCUCUUCCUCCCUCUUUCGUCUCCUCACAGGGUGAUGAGGGAGCAGCGCUGUUGGCGGUAGAGGAGAGUUGCCUUACCCAGCCGCCUCUCUCCUCCCCCCCACAUUGAGUCCUCUUUCCUCUCGUGAGUGUGGUCUUGGUGCCUCUCCGGCUCCUCUUAAUUCUCCCCGUUCACCAUUUCUGCCUUGCCGCCUUCCUGUUAUCUUCUCUCCUCGUCUCCUUCAGCAGCCAGAUGAAGACUUGGAGACGGUUUCCUUGAAUGAAGGUAGCGGCUGCUUUCGAACUUUCAGCAGCGCUGGCAGUAGUCGGCUUUGUACCGACCUGCCAAAGCCUUGGAGUUUGGACUGUAAAGCAGAGGACAUGCUUACAGGGAAGCUGAGCGGGACGGCCCGUCCCAAUUCCACUGUCAGGCUGCCCAAAAGGGUGAAGUACCUGGAGAUGGGUUGAAAACAUGCAGGGCAGAACUAGAAUAGCCUCAAGACUCUCUUUUUGUCCCCAUAAAUAAAUGAAUGAAUAAAUAAAUAACAGUCAAACAGCAUCUCUCCCGUCUGAGUGCUGAAACCAAACAGGAGGUGAAUAACCUCUGCUAUCUUAGUAAAAAAAAAAACAGGUUAAAUUCCCUCCUUUGUCUUUAAGUGAUUUUAUAAAAAAAAUAUUUGCUCUCAUUGGAGAAAAUAAUCAAAAAAAGGAGCAACAGUCAACUUAAUAAAGCUCAGACUUCGAAUGUCAAAUGGCACGAAGCCACAGCUCCCUGGCGACUAGACAGUUAAUAUGCAAACGAGGCUGGCAGCUCACUGUGAGAGGGAGGGGCUUCCUUUUAGGCCAGAUGAGAUGGUGGAGAGGAAGAAGAGGGGAGGGGAGGAGGAGGAGGAGGAGGAAGGGGAGUGAAAGGCAGUGACGGGGAAAGGAAGUGGGUUAUAAAGGGAGAAAAAAAAAAAGAACUGCUCUUCCCGCCCAGGGAGGGAGAGCGGCUGCAAAGAUACAGGUGUCCGUCUCUAAAGACCGUCUCACCCCCAUCAAAUACUAUUAGUGAAGCACGGUUAUUACAAGGAAGAGUCAUCUCUCUCUCUCUCUCUCACUAAUCAUUAUGGAAAUGAAAGCAGAGAGCAAGCAGCGAGUUGACCGGAGCCCACAAGAUGGCAAGUUCAUAACCGAGCUUCAGGGCAAACACGAGAUGAAAUCACUACUCAGGAGAGAAAGAUGAUGUUUCUCAGUGUUACUGAGAGCACCAUCAAUGGUUAACUGAAUGGGAGCGAGGCGUUAGAUCCAUCAUGGACGGCAGCCAACAAUGGACGUUUGAUCUGGCAAAUGGCUUCUUCAGAUUACCGCUUCCACAGUGAAGGGGGGAAACAUCCUUUAGGGCAGAUAUCGCUGCUCACAGUGCUUGAUGACCCUCCUGAGGUGCACUUUAGCCACUGAAUUAACUCAAGGCCAAGCCUGGCUGCUAUGAGCAUUAUUUUUAUCGUUCAAAGCAGGUUUUGACUUUAGAAAAGCAGCAUUUUUAUAACAGUUAAAAGCCAAAAAUUUCAAUAAAAGUGCAUUUUAACUCUGCUACCCAGAGAUAAUUUCUGGCCUUCCACAGUGUGUUACAUAAACAGGAUUCUUAUGUAAAUUAAAUGUGCCGUUGUGAAUAGGGUAACAGUAGGUUUGAAAGUGACUCCUCUUCAUUAAAAGCCGAAAUUUUAAACAACAAAACAACCAAUUAUUGUGGUACAACAAUCAUGCUUUGCAACUUGCAUAAAGUCACUUUGACACCUAUAAAAACUUCUAAGGGUAAAAUUUAAUGAAAAGCUGAUUCUAUAUUUUUUCAUAUCACAGUAAAGGAACAAAGUGACUUUAACAUCAGAAAAUUCUGUAUCAGUUCCUGUUUUUUGGUUUAUUUUUAUAUUUGCUUACUUUCACACUUUAAAUUAGUUAAUAAUAUAUAAACCUGGGGAGCUGAGAUUGUUUGACUGAAAAAAUAUUUAUUUACACUUCUGGUUUAAAUCGAAUAAUGGCAUUGUCCUCUCCUCUUCCAUCCUGGUCUCAGGCUGAGAGUAAACUGAUAUUAUAACAGUGAAUAAAAACAUGGUGCAAUCACAAAUUUCAGUUGAAAAAAAAGUUAAUUGCUAGUUAAUCGGUUUAGGGUAGAAGUUUACAGAAACAGAGUGUUUAACUACUAAAAAAAUUACUACACAGCUAUGGUUCUGGUUAGGUCUGUGUGAUAAGACUGAAUAAUGCAUCACCAUAUAAGUGUCAUGUAGGAGAUAUAUAUAUAUAUAAUUAUAGAUUGUUUUUAACCUACUUUUAAUAAAGGGGAAGGAAAAAAGGGUAAAUUUAAAUUGUAACUAUAGUUAAACAUAACCUUUAAAAAGAGGUCCGCUCUACCACCAUGCUUUGCUUUGCUGCGAGAGGUUGAGAGGGUAAAUCCUUCCCUCUGCCUACAUCUCCCAGAAUGCCAUGGGGUUCUGAAUCAGAGUUCAAUGAAAUUAGUCUCUUCUACUGAUAUUAAUGUCUUGUUUUUUUUAUGGUUUAUGUUUUAUUGCACAGUUCUUAUUCAGUUCUGUGCAGAAAGUUUUACGUCCUUUCUAGAGCAGAUUUCUGGGCUACAAUUCUACUCCAGUGAAUCAUUAAUAGCCACAAUUUCUGUAAUGGAAACAAAAGAGCUAGAAAAAGAGCCCCAGAUUAUAUUCCUGCAGGGGAAACACCUCAAAAUGAUCAAACCCAAAUCAACAAGCAUCAAUCAGCUGUAUUUACAGGUUAUUUCACACCAGCUAAUAAACUAAGACAAACACGGAUUCUGCCUUAUCUAAUAAUUAGUUUAUGAUCUUUAACUGAAGAACAUUAACCAAACAGUCUCUAACAAGAUUUAACACUCAAGAGGAAGCUUGGACACCUCCAGGCUGCCAACAAAUUGGUUAAAUAACAGCUUUUCUAAGACAUGUUGAUCAGAGCUUAUUUGUUUACAUAUGAAGUCAAAAGGAGAAGGUUGCAGUAACAGUUGCUUAAUAAAGCAUUUCACUUUGACCACAAAAAUUG
Cyprinodon variegatus (sheepshead minnow) is the source of this 3206-nucleotide long non-coding RNA. RefSeq lists it as uncharacterized. The transcript has 3 exons. The record is from RefSeq and is a predicted model, not a curated record. NCBI's taxonomy places the organism in Eukaryota, Metazoa, Chordata, Actinopteri, Cyprinodontiformes, Cyprinodontidae.